GCCAGACUCCUACGGGAGGCAGCAGUGAGGAAUAUUGGUCAAUGGGCGGGAGCCUGAACCAGCCAAGUCGCGUGAGGGAAGACGGUCCUAUGGAUUGUAAACCUCUUUAGGCGGGGAGCAAUGCCGGGCACGUGUGCCCGGAGGGAGAGUACCCGCAGAAUAAGCAUCGGCUAACUACGUGCCAGCAGCCGCGGUAAUACGUAGGUGGCAAGCGUUGUCCGGAUUUACUGGGUGUAAAGGGCGUGUAGCCGGGUUGACAAGUCAGAUGUGAAAUCCUGCGGCUUAACCGCAGAACUGCAUUUGAAACUGUUGAUCUUGAGUACUGGAGAGGCAGACGGAAUUCCUAGUGUAGCGGUGAAAUGCGUAGAUAUUAGGAGGAACACCAGUGGCGAAGGCGGUCUGCUGGACAGCAACUGACGGUGAGGCGCGAAAGCGUGGGGAGCAAACAGGAUUAGAUACCCCAGUA
RNAcentral lists this ribosomal RNA (466 nucleotides) under uncultured bacterium. RNAcentral describes it as "partial 16S ribosomal RNA". It matches the Rfam family "Bacterial small subunit ribosomal RNA", at positions 330 to 792 of the family's 1533-position model. The record is from RNAcentral.